RNAcentral lists this microRNA precursor (103 nucleotides) under Marmota monax (woodchuck). Lineage: Eukaryota; Metazoa; Chordata; Mammalia; Rodentia; Sciuridae. The record is from RNAcentral.
AGUAGAAUUGCUGGAUCAUGUGGUAACUCUGUAGUGUAUUUUUUUCAGAAACUGCCAAACAGUUUUACAAGUGGAAGAACCAUUUUACAUUUCCAUAAGCAGU